Molecule: unclassified non-coding RNA, 217 nt
Filed under: Paraglomerales sp.
Lineage: Eukaryota; Fungi; Glomeromycota; Glomeromycetes; Paraglomerales
Description: partial contains 5.8S ribosomal RNA and internal transcribed spacer 2
Rfam family: 5.8S ribosomal RNA (bases 1-65)
Source: RNAcentral
GUGAAUCAUCGAAUUUUUGAACGCAAAUUGCGCCUUUUUCGGACGGCAUGUCUGUUUGAGGGCACCAUUUAACAAAUAAUGUGCAGCGUUUUUUGUUGCACACGUCGAUGUGCUUUCCUAUAAUUUUAAAUUUUCUGUGUCGCAUAAUGAACUGCGUGUAAGUUUUUUUCAGUUCGAGUGUAGUAAAAUCUAUGCUUGUGUUGUGAAUAAACAUAAU